UCGAAACCAAAUUAAAUCAUUCCGAUGCUAAUACCAGAUGUAUAGAGAUGGGAUAUCAAGGAUUAGCAGAACUAAAAACUCAACAACAACAAAAACUUGCAAACGAUAUCGUUUACCACUAUAAUAAAGGUAAGUCAGGAGCCCAUGUAUGGAUUGGUCUGACGUAUAACAUGUCUACUAGCAAUUGGUGGUGGGGAUCUGGAGAAGAGUCGAUAGAAUCUAAUUCAUCGAAUGUUUGGACCUCUGGCGAACCUAAUCACAUGUUCAACCAGCGUUGUGUUAGUUUGAUGUACACCUCGAGCCCACAUGUCGUGGGGUGGGCUAGUAAAGGAUGCUUGAAAUUUCACAAAGCACUGUGUCAGAGGGCAAAAGACCUAUCGUCAAAUUAUAUGGAACUAAUGUAUUCAGACACAGCAGCACCAGUUGGAUCAACCGCCUUUAGAGUAAGAAGUUUGAUGGAUUGUGUGACGUCAUGUGUAUUGGAUUGUUCGUGUCAAGCUAUUCACUACUCUGGAGAUGAAUGUCGCCUAAUGACGUAUUAUUUAUUAGACUCUAUCUCGACCACACCCACUGAUAUUAUCGGUAACAUAUAUGCAAAGGUUUAAAUGAACAGUCUGGGGUUGUUUAGUCAACUGCAAUAUAUAAAUUGCAAUGAAGACCUUUAGUAUCUUUUGUUCUUGAUCAGUGUAGAUCUAAGGGACUUUUUG
Patella vulgata (common limpet) is the source of this 707-nucleotide long non-coding RNA. RefSeq lists it as uncharacterized. The transcript has 3 exons. Lineage: Eukaryota; Metazoa; Mollusca; Gastropoda; Patellidae. The record is from RefSeq and is a predicted model, not a curated record.